CUUGGUCAUUUAGAGGAAGUAAAAGUCGUAACAAGGUCUCCGUUGGUGAACCAGCGGAGGGAUCAUUACCGAGUUUACAACUCCCAAACCCCUGUGAACAUACCCAUCGUUGCCUCGGCGGCGCCCGCUCCGGCGGCCCGCCAGAGGACCCCCAAACUCUUUGUUUAUUACAGUAUCUUCUGAGUAACACGAUUAAAUAAAUCAAAACUUUCAACAACGGAUCUCUUGGUUCUGGCAUCGAUGAAGAACGCAGCGAAAUGCGAUAAGUAAUGUGAAUUGCAGAAUUCAGUGAAUCAUCGAAUCUUUGAACGCACAUUGCGCCCGCCAGUAUUCUGGCGGGCAUGCCUGUUCGAGCGUCAUUUCAACCCUCAAGCCCCCGGGCUUGGUGUUGGGGAUCGGCCCGGGCCGUCCCCCAAAUCCAGUGGCGGUCUCGCUGCAGCUUCCUCCGCGUAGUAGCAACACUCGCGCUGGAGCGCAGCGCGGCCACGCCGUUAAACCCCCCACUUCUGAAAGGUUGACCUCGGAUCAGGUAGGAAUACCCGCUGAACUUAAGCAUAUCAAUAAGCGGAGGA
This 572-nucleotide ribosomal RNA is filed under the name uncultured Neonectria. RNAcentral describes it as "eukaryotic LSU rRNA". The stretch from base 206 to 359 matches the Rfam family "5.8S ribosomal RNA". Lineage: Eukaryota; Fungi; Ascomycota; Sordariomycetes; Hypocreales; Nectriaceae. The record is from RNAcentral.